RNAcentral lists this ribosomal RNA (237 nucleotides) under uncultured bacterium. Its description in RNAcentral is "partial 16S ribosomal RNA". It matches the Rfam family "Bacterial small subunit ribosomal RNA", at positions 17 to 236 of the family's 1533-position model. The record is from RNAcentral.
GUCUGGCUCAGGACGAACGCUGGCGGCGUGCUUAACACAUGCAAGUCGAACGGGGCGCUUAUGAUGGAGAUUUCGGUCAACGGAUUAAGUUGCCUAGUGGCGGACGGGUGAGUAACGCGUGAGUAACCUGCCUUUCAGAGGGGGACAACAGUUGGAAACGACUGCUAAUACCGCAUAAUAUAUAUGGACCGCAUGAUCUGUAUAUCAAAGAUUUAUCGCUGAAAGAUGGACUCGCGU